RNAcentral lists this ribosomal RNA (685 nucleotides) under Faecalibacterium prausnitzii. Its description in RNAcentral is "bacterial SSU rRNA". It matches the Rfam family "Bacterial small subunit ribosomal RNA", at positions 439 to 1150 of the family's 1533-position model. Lineage: Bacteria; Bacillati; Bacillota; Clostridia; Eubacteriales; Oscillospiraceae. The record is from RNAcentral.
UUGAGGAAGAUAAUGACGGUACUCAACAAGGAAGUGACGGCUAACUACGUGCCAGCAGCCGCGGUAAAACGUAGGUCACAAGCGUUGUCCGGAAUUACUGGGUGUAAAGGGAGCGCAGGCGGGAAGACAAGUUGGAAGUGAAAUCCAUGGGCUCAACCCAUGAACUGCUUUCAAAACUGUUUUUCUUGAGUAGUGCAGAGGUAGGCGGAAUUCCCGGUGUAGCGGUGGAAUGCGUAGAUAUCGGGAGGAACACCAGUGGCGAAGGCGGCCUACUGGGCACCAACUGACGCUGAGGCUCGAAAGUGUGGGUAGCAAACAGGAUUAGAUACCCUGGUAGUCCACACCGUAAACGAUGAUUACUAGGUGUUGGAGGAUUGACCCCUUCAGUGCCGCAGUUAACACAAUAAGUAAUCCACCUGGGGAGUACGACCGCAAGGUUGAAACUCAAAGGAAUUGACGGGGGCCCGCACAAGCAGUGGAGUAUGUGGUUUAAUUCGACGCAACGCGAAGAACCUUACCAAGUCUUGACAUCCCUUGACGAUGCUGGAAACAGUAUUUCUCUUCGGAGCAAGGAGACAGGUGGUGCAUGGUUGUCGUCAGCUCGUGUCGUGAGAUGUUGGGUUAAGUCCCGCAACGAGCGCAACCCUUAUGGUCAGUUACUACGCAAGAGGACUCUGGCCGGACU